CUACGGGGCGCACCAGUGGGGAAUAUUGCACAAUGGACGAAAGUCUGAUGCAGCAACGCCGCGUGGAGGAUGACACUUUUCGGAGCGUAAACUCCUUUUAUAUAGGAAGAUAAUGACGGUACUAUAUGAAUAAGCACCGGCUAACUCCGUGCCAGCAGCCGCGGUAAUACGGAGGGUGCAAGCGUUACUCGGAAUCACUGGGCGUAAAGAGCGUGUAGGCGGGUUAAUAAGUCAGAAGUGAAAUCCAAUGGCUCAACCAUUGAACUGCUUUUGAAACUGUUAACCUAGAAUAUGGGAGAGGUAGAUGGAAUUUCUGGUGUAGGGGUAAAAUCCGUAGAGAUCAGAAGGAAUACCGAUUGCGAAGGCGAUCUACUGGAACAUUAUUGACGCUGAGACGCGAAAGCGUGGGGAGCAAACAGGAUUAGAUACCCUAGUAGUC
Molecule: ribosomal RNA, 439 nt
Filed under: uncultured bacterium
Lineage: Bacteria
Description: partial 16S ribosomal RNA
Rfam family: Bacterial small subunit ribosomal RNA
Source: RNAcentral